GUCUUGCAUGGAUACAUUUGAGCCUGCAUGUUGCGAUCUGUAUCCAAUGAUUGUAACUUCUGUAUUGUAUCCUUCAAUGAGAAAGGACAGCUCUGGUGUGAGGAGUCCCUCUCCCUUCUCCUAAACUCUUCUACAAAACAGGGGUUUCCAACUUCCGGGAUAAGGACCUGUACCAACUCAUGGCCUGUUAGGAAAUGGGCCACACAGCAGAAGGUUAGUGGUGGGCGAGUGAGUGAAACUUCAUCUGUAUUUACAGCAGCUCCCCAUUGCUGGCAUUGCUGCCUGAGCUCCACCUCCUGUCAGAUCAGCAGCAGCAUUAAAUUCUCAUAGGAGCACAAACCCUGUUGUAAAUUCCACAUGCGAGGGAUCCAGGUUGCGUGCUUCUUUUGAGAAUCUAAUGCCUCAUGAUCUGUCUCUGUCUCCCAUCACCCCUAGAUGGGAACUUUUAGUUGCAGAAAAACAAGCUCAGGGCUCCCACUGAUUCUACUUGAUGCUCUCCAGGAACACAUCUUUGAAGACAAAAUGCCUCCAAGAUCCCCAGUACUGUAGCUCUUCUCCUGAAGCAACUAUUUCCAGCCUUGAAAGUUAUCAGCUCAGGAGAGGAAGCACUGCAAGCAGCUCCUGGGCCCUGGGGUAUGGUUGCAGAUUCAUCACCUAGCUACUUGUUUGUGGUGUUAUCAUCUUUUUUUCCCUGACAUAUUUUGGAACUUGACUACAUCUGAUAUAUUUCUCAACAUUUCUCCAGUACCAUUCACUCCAACUCCAGAGGACACCAUGGAACACCAUUUCCUCGGCUGGAAGUGGGACCAUCUCCGGCGACCUCUGCUUCUCCUCUCCUUUUCUACUUUACAGGAGCACUUACAGAAACACUUGAAAAAGUUCCCCACUCAUAGGAGACCUGUCAGUUAGCAAAUUGUACCCUGAAGUUUUGGUCUAGGAUAUCAAAGCAUAACUUAUUUUGGGGCUGCUUUACCAGAUUGUGACAUAAUAAACUUUACUUACUUCAAACAUUUUAUUUGUGAUGAGAUCACGAUCACGGAGGCCCUCGAGGAAUGGAAAUGUCUUUUUUAUUGCAUUUGAAAUCUCCACCUUAUUUCUUUUGAAGUGCUUGAAUACAAUGUCAUAGAGCAGCCUGUCAUCUACACCCUGGUCUUCCGUGAACAUCCUAGGGAAAAAGGACACCAUGUGAAAAUGGUCAUCAAGAUUCUGAGAUGUUUGUGGAGGCUGUAAGAGUUUACAUAUAAAGGACAAGCUACAAAGAAUGAACAUAUAUAAAUUAGGUGGUCCUCAGUAGAGGCCAGAAUAAAUGCAAUUGAAGCAACAAAAAAGAUGUAAUAGAAGAAAUGGAGGUUGUGAAAAACUAAUAUAGAGGACUGAAAAAGUUCUGUCUAAACUGAACAAAGCCAUUGUAAAGAUACCUUCACCUAACCAUAUAUGGAAUAUUUUUUGAAAUAAAAAUUAAAUUCCUACAGAAUCUAGGUGGAAUAAACAGGUCAUCCACAGAGAAAUGAAAAACAAUGGAAUAAAAAUAAAAUCUAACCUUGAAUAUGCAUCUUAAUCAACUGAGAGAAAACAAAUCUGAGAAAGAUGAAAAUAACAUGUCCUUCUCUAAUCUGUAGCUGUUAAGAAAGAAAUAUAAUCCUACAUCAUUAAUUCACAAAUAAUACAAUGCAGUUUAAUAAUAAUAAUGAGACCACAUUAUUGAGAAUUUCAUGAGAAUAUGAAUGAUAUCUCCUAGAAUGCCUGAUUCUACUUUGUAUUAAUAUCAAUCUCUCUGUAUUAUUGCUAUAUAUGGUGAAUCAUUUUAGGCAUCUGAAUUUCAGAAAUUGUUGCCGUUUCCUAUGAAAGUAAUUUUAAAGUUGAAUCUCUAAUUCUGGUUCUUAGUUGAUUACUUUAUUGCUCUGAUAAUGUUUUAGUCAACAUCUCAGUAUUUCUUAAUAUUAUGAAAAUUUAUGAGCCCUUCCUUCCCAACUAGAAGAGAAUUAUUGGCACUGUCCAGUAUCUAACAUGAGGCAGGAAACAAUAAUGUUACAUUAUUGUUUUGAAUUUCUGUAAAAAAAGUUUCUGGUUAAAGAUCACUAAAAUGAUAACAAAGGAAUUAGAUUCACAAUGACAAAGAGAAUGGCAGAGGACAAUGAGCAGAUAAGAGAUUUCAAGUAAAAUCUUGAAGGUGAAAAGUGGUCAGAAAAGUGCUAGUUGCAAUAGCAGAUAGGGGAUGGAUGCUUUCAGAGGUUAGGAAUCAUGGUGCCCUACAGAAUUUGUAAGAAACAAUGGAGAUUUGAAGGGAGACACAGAGCCAAAAACUGAUGUGUUAUUUGAGAAAUGAACAGAACAGUGUGUGCCCUGCCCGUCAACCCACAUCCUGACCAUAUGCAACCAGGCAGUCUCUCAGGGCAACCACUGCUGUCAUUUUUUCCAUCGUAUCUUAAUACUGCCCGCUACUGGAUUUUGUAUAAAUGGGAUAAAAGGUAUAUAUGCUUUUGUGUCUGCCUUCUUUUGCUUAUCAUUCAUGUUGAUGUGUUGAACAGUAGUUUGUUCAUUUUUGUUGUUGAGUGGCAUUCCAUUGUGUGAAUAUACCACAAUCUGCUUAUUCAGUUUUCUGUUCAUGGUCAUUGGAGUUGAUUCCACUUUGAGACUAGUAUAAAUAAAAUUGCUGCUCUUGUACAAGUCUUUUUGUGGCAAGAUGUUUUCACUUAUCUUGCAUAAAUAUGUAGCAGUGGAAUUGCUUGGUCAUUGUGUAAGAGUACAUUUAACCAUUUAAGAACCUGCCAAACUGUUUUUCAAAGACUAUCAGAGAUAGCCUUUCUAGUUUUAGCCAUUCCAGUGUGUGUGAUGUGAUAUGUCAUUUUCGUUUUAAUUUGUAUUUCUUUAAUGAUAAAAUGAUGUCAAGCACAUUUUCAUGUGUUAAUUGGCAAUUUAUUUUUUGUAAAGUGUCUGUUCAAGUCUUUGGCCCAUUUAUAUUAUUCAAUUUUACUUAUUGAUGGGUAGGCAUUUUUUAAAUAUAUUAUGGAUAGAAGUGUUUUGUCUGAUUUAUGUAUGGUGAAUAUUUUCACCCAGUCUGUAGCUUCUCUUUCAUUUUCUUAAUCAUGUCUUUUGAUGGGAAGAAAUCUGUAAUUUUGAUGAAAUCCAAUUUAUUUUUUUUUCUUUUAUAAUUAAUGACUUUAGUGUACUAUCUAAGAAAUAUUUGCCUACUCCAAGGUCAUGAAAAUAUUCAAAAAACAAUUUACAAUAUUAGCAUGGGUUUAUAUAUGUACUUUCUAUGCUAUACCAUUGAUCUAUUUGUCUACCCUUAUGCUGGUAAGAUUUUGCCUUAAAUAUCAUGGCUUAACAAAAGUCUUGAAGUCAAUUAGAAAAGAUUGGCUUGGAUUUUCUAGAUUCUUUGCUUUUAUACAUUAUCUUUUCAAAUCAGUUUGUCAAUUUCUUCAAGAAAAAACUUUAGGACUUUUUUUUGGAUUUGAAUUGAAGCUACAGAUAAAUUUGGGGGAGAUGACAACAACAUUGAGCUUCCAAUCUGUUAACAUUGUAUAUCUCUCCAUUUACUUACAUGUGUUUAAUUUUACCCAGCACUGCUUAUAGUUUUUAGAAGUCAUGUACAUCUUUCAUUAAAUUUAUUCCUCUCCAAAAACCUAUUGAAAUAAAAAAUUUAAUUUAAUUAAAUUUAAAAAAU
This 3667-nucleotide long non-coding RNA is filed under the name Homo sapiens (human). Its description in RNAcentral is "non-protein coding lnc-SP110-8:4". The record is from RNAcentral. Lineage: Eukaryota; Metazoa; Chordata; Mammalia; Primates; Hominidae.